RNAcentral lists this unclassified non-coding RNA (348 nucleotides) under soil metagenome. Its description in RNAcentral is "partial contains 5.8S ribosomal RNA, internal transcribed spacer 2, and large subunit ribosomal RNA". The stretch from base 1 to 120 matches the Rfam family "5.8S ribosomal RNA", at positions 35 to 154 of the family's 154-position model. The record is from RNAcentral.
GAUGAAGAACGUAGCGAAAUGCGAUAAGUAAUGUGAAUUGCAGAAUUCAGUGAAUCAUCGAGUCUUUGAACGCACAUUGCGCCCCCUGGUAUUCCGGGGGGCAUGCCUGUCCGAGCGUCAUUGCCGCCCUCAAGCACGGCUUGUGUGUUGGGCCCCCGCCCCCCGGCUUCGGGGGGCGGGCCCGAAAGGCAGCGGCGGCACCGCGUCCGGUCCUCGAGCGUAUGGGGCUUCGUCACCCGCUCUGUAGGCCCGGCCGGCGCCCGCCGGCGACCCCAAUCAAUCUUUCCAGGUUGACCUCGGAUCAGGUAGGGAUACCCGAUGAACUUAAGCAUAUCAAUAAGCGGAGGA